Lathyrus oleraceus (garden pea) is the source of this 356-nucleotide long non-coding RNA. RefSeq lists it as uncharacterized. The record is from RefSeq and is a predicted model, not a curated record. NCBI's taxonomy places the organism in Eukaryota, Viridiplantae, Streptophyta, Magnoliopsida, Fabales, Fabaceae. The transcript has 3 exons.
ACAUCGAUGAAAGCCGGCAAAAAUAUUGUAUUCAAUUGGCCGGAAAAAGACUCCGAGGAUUUCGAUCCUUUUUGUCCAACAAAUUUCUCAAGGAUGAGGAAGGAAAAUUUGUUGAAGCAGAACGGCCAAUGAAGUAUGCGGAGAUUAUUUCAUCCGAAGAAUGGGAUAACUUUGUCGCCAAACGAAGAAACGAAAAAUUCCAUGAAGUAAGCGACAAAAAAUCGGAAAAGGGCAUCAAAACCCGCGUAUCCGUACAAAAAAGGGCGUACGGGAUAUGCACGGUUACAACAAAGAAUUCUAGCCGAGGAGAAAAGUGACGCAACAUCUCUUCCGGAGCACGUAUUGUGGAAGGCUGC